GUCCCCGUAGCUCAAUGGAUAGAGUACGCGCCUUCUAAGCGCGUUAUCCAGGUUCGAUUCCUGGCGGGGACA
Molecule: transfer RNA, 72 nt
Filed under: Elusimicrobiota bacterium
Lineage: Bacteria; Pseudomonadati; Elusimicrobiota
Description: Elusimicrobia bacterium (groundwater metagenome) tRNA-Arg
Rfam family: tRNA
About the family: Transfer RNA (tRNA) molecules are approximately 80 nucleotides in length. Their secondary structure includes four short double-helical elements and three loops (D, anti-codon, and T loops).
Source: RNAcentral